UACAGAGGUGGCAAGCGUUGUUCGGAAUUACUGGGCGUAAAGGGCGCGUAGGCGGCCUUCUAAGUCAGACGUGAAAUCCCCAGGCUUAACUUGGGAACUGCGUCUGAUGCUGGGAGGCUUGAGUGCGGGAGAGGGAUGUGGAAUUCCAGGUGUAGCGGUGAAAUGCGUAGAUAUCUGGAGGAACACCGGUGGCGAAGGCGGCAUCCUGGACCGACACUGACGCUGAGGCGAAAGCUAGGGGAGCAAACGGG
Molecule: ribosomal RNA, 251 nt
Filed under: uncultured bacterium
Lineage: Bacteria
Description: partial 16S ribosomal RNA
Rfam family: Bacterial small subunit ribosomal RNA
Source: RNAcentral